This 468-nucleotide ribosomal RNA is filed under the name uncultured bacterium. RNAcentral's name for it is "partial 16S ribosomal RNA". It matches the Rfam family "Bacterial small subunit ribosomal RNA", at positions 28 to 507 of the family's 1533-position model. The record is from RNAcentral.
GACGAACGCUGGCGGCGUGCUUAACACAUGCAAGUCGAACGGAAAGGCCCUGCUUUUGUGGGGUGCUCGAGUGGCGAACGGGUGAGUAACACGUGAGUAACCUGCCCUUGACUUUGGGAUAACUUCAGGCAACUGGGGCUAAUACCGGAUAGGAGCUCCUGCUGCAUGGUGGGGGUUGGAAAGUUUCGGCGGUUGGGGAUGGACUCGCGGCUUAUCAGCUUGUUGGUGGGGUAGUGGCUUACCAAGGCUUUGACGGGUAGCCGGCCUGAGAGGGUGACCGGCCACAUGGGGACUGAGAUACGGCCCAGAGUCCAACGGGAGGCAGCAGUGGGGAAUAUUGCACAAUGGGCGGAAGCGUGAGGCAGCAACGCCGCGUGCGGGAUGACGGCCUUCGGGUUGUAAACCGCUGUAGCCUGUGACGAAGCGGGAGUGACGGUAAUGGGUAAAGAAGCACCGGCUAACUACGUG